AAUCUUGGACAAUGGGGGAAACCCUGAUCCAGCCAUGCCGCGUGAGUGAUGAAGGCCCUAGGGUUGUAAAACUCUUUCGGCGGGGACGAUAAUGACGGUACCCGCAGAAGAAGCUCCGGCUAACUUCGUGCCAGCAGCCGCGGUAAUACGAAGGGGGCUAGCGUUGUUCGGAAUUACUGGGCGUAAAGCGCACGUAGGCGGCUUCUUAAGUCAGGGGUGAAAGCCUGGAGCUCAACUCCAGAACUGCCUUUGAUACUGAGAAGCUUGAGUCCGGGAGAGGUGAGUGGAACUGCGAGUGUAGAGGUGAAAUUCGUAGAUAUUCGCAAGAACACCAGUGGCGAAGGCGGCUCACUGGCCCGGUACUGACGCUGAGGUGCGAAAGCGUGGGGAGCAAAC
This 396-nucleotide ribosomal RNA is filed under the name uncultured bacterium. RNAcentral describes it as "bacterial SSU rRNA". It matches the Rfam family "Bacterial small subunit ribosomal RNA", at positions 360 to 773 of the family's 1533-position model. The record is from RNAcentral.